UACGGAGGGUGCAAGCGUUGCUCGGAAUUAUUGGGCGUAAAGCGCGUGUAGGCGGUUUUCUAAGUCUGAUGUGAAAUCCCGGAGGUUAACUCCGGAACUGCAUCGGGGACUGGAAGUCUAGAGGGUGGAAGAGGCUGGUGGAAUUCCGAGUGUAGGGGUGAAAUCCGUAGAUAUUAGGAGGAACACCAGUGGCGAAGGCGGCUUGCUGGGCUCUUUCUGACGCUGCGACGCGAAAGCGUGGGGAGCAAACAUG
This 253-nucleotide ribosomal RNA is filed under the name uncultured bacterium. Its description in RNAcentral is "partial 16S ribosomal RNA". It matches the Rfam family "Bacterial small subunit ribosomal RNA", at positions 524 to 776 of the family's 1533-position model. The record is from RNAcentral.